UAGAACGCUGAGAACUGGUGCUUGCACCGGUUCAAGGAGUUGCGAACGGGUGAGUAACGCGUAGGUAACCUACCUCAUAGCGGGGGAUAACUAUUGGAAACGAUAGCUAAUACCGCAUAAGAGAGACUAACGCAUGUUAGUAAUUUAAAAGGGGCAAUUGCUCCACUAUGAGAUGGACCUGCGUUGUAUUAGCUAGUUGGUGAGGUAAAGGCUCACCAAGGCGACGAUACAUAGCCGACCUGAGAGGGUGAUCGGCCACACUGGGACUGAGACACGGCCCAGACUCCUACGGGAGGCAGCAGUAGGGAAUCUUCGGCAAUGGGGGCAACCCUGACCGAGCAACGCCGCGUGAGUGAAGAAGGUUUUCGGAUCGUAAAGCUCUGUUGUUAGAGAAGAAUGAUGGUGGGAGUGGAAAAUCCACCAAGUGACGGUAACUAACCAGAAAGGGACGGCUAACUACGUGCCAGCAGCCGCGGUAAUACGUAGGUCCCGAGCGUUGUCCGGAUUUAUUGGGCGUAAAGCGAGCGCAGGCGGUUUUUUAAGUCUGAAGUUAAAGGCAUUGGCUCAACCAAUGUACGCUUUGGAAACUGGAGAACUUGAGUGCAGAAGGGGAGAGUGGAAUUCCAUGUGUAGCGGUGAAAUGCGUAGAUGUAUGGAGGAACACCGGUGGCGAAAGCGGCUCUCUGGUCUGUAACUGACGCUGAGGCUCGA
Molecule: ribosomal RNA, 711 nt
Filed under: uncultured Streptococcaceae bacterium
Lineage: Bacteria; Bacillati; Bacillota; Bacilli; Lactobacillales; Streptococcaceae
Description: bacterial SSU rRNA
Rfam family: Bacterial small subunit ribosomal RNA
Source: RNAcentral